Molecule: non-coding RNA, 27 nt
Filed under: Rattus norvegicus (Norway rat)
Lineage: Eukaryota; Metazoa; Chordata; Mammalia; Rodentia; Muridae
Source: RNAcentral
UGGUCUGACCUGAGGAUAGUAAGUUCU